Molecule: ribosomal RNA, 200 nt
Filed under: uncultured prokaryote
Description: partial 16S ribosomal RNA
Rfam family: Bacterial small subunit ribosomal RNA
Source: RNAcentral
CGUCAAGUCCUCAUGGCCCUUAUAUCCAGGGCUACACACGUGCUACAAUGGCCGGUACAAAGGGCUGCAAUAUCGCGAGAUGGAGCCAACCCCAAAAAGCCGGCCUCAGUUCGGAUUGGAGUCUGCAACUCGACUCCAUGAAGUUGGAAUCGCUAGUAAUCCCGGAUCAGCACGCCGGGGUGAAUACGUUCCCGGGCCUU